UAGCUACUACAUACGACCACUACACAUCAGCAGAGUUGAAUCUUAUACACAUCGAGGGCCGUUCAGAGUUUAGUGUAAGUUUGUCUGCUUCAUAUACAGAAUGAUAUUGUUAUUGUACAGUAUGGUAUUGUCCAUCUAUAUGUCCCCAAACUAAAUAGUUUCUCUCAUGUUUUUACUCUGUAGUAAUGUUCUUGUCAUCAUAUCUGUGCUGAACAAAUGUGUCCUGAGCUCUGACGUCUCUUUUAGAGGACAGUCUGAUGUAUGCUGAGGUCAAACAGCCCAAAAAAGAAAAAGCCAAGAAAAACAAAGGAAAAUCAAGUCCUGCAGCUGAUGCAGCAGUUUAUUCUGAAGUCACAUCAGGAAGCUCUCUCAGUCAGUGAGGAGAGCUGUAGCAGCAAAGCCAAGAAGAAGCUUUUUAUGAAGCCACUCUUGCUGCUCUGCUCCCCAAAUAUCAGACAUGCUCAGCUUUAUGUACAGUUACAAUAUUAAAUCAUUAUAUCAGACAUAAUGCUCUCUUUUAGUAUAAAACAAAUGCAGGUGUAUUCAUAUUUAAUAUUCAUGCUUUCUAUAUUCAGUUAUAUUUCAUAAAGAUUUUGUAAUAAACCUUGAAUGUAUCUAACAUGUUCCAACAGCAGUGAGAACAAAGUGUGAAAUAUGUGAUCUUUAGUAUCUGACAGCACAACUUAAAGUCAGUGUUUGCAGUGUUUCACAAGUAAAUACUGAUAUGGGACCAACAAAUACUUU
Long non-coding RNA from Oreochromis niloticus (Nile tilapia), 744 nucleotides. RefSeq lists it as uncharacterized. The transcript is spliced from 3 exons. The record is from RefSeq and is a predicted model, not a curated record. Lineage: Eukaryota; Metazoa; Chordata; Actinopteri; Cichliformes; Cichlidae.